Molecule: ribosomal RNA, 1157 nt
Filed under: Listeria monocytogenes
Lineage: Bacteria; Bacillati; Bacillota; Bacilli; Caryophanales; Listeriaceae
Description: partial 23S ribosomal RNA
Rfam family: Bacterial large subunit ribosomal RNA
Source: RNAcentral
CCGGUAGUUGAAAUGGCUUUCCCUCCAGAGUGGAUCCUGAGUACGGCGGAACACGUGAAAUUCCGUCGGAAUCCGGGAGGACCAUCUCCCAAGGCUAAAUACUCCCUAGUGACCGAUAGUGAACCAGUACCGUGAGGGAAAGGUGAAAAGCACCCCGGAAGGGGAGUGAAACAGUUCCUGAAACCGUGUGCCUACAAGUAGUUAGAGCCCGUUAAUGGGUGAUAGCGUGCCUUUUGUAGAAUGAACCGGCGAGUUACGAUUUGUUGCAAGGUUAAGCGGAAAAAGCGGAGCCGUAGCGAAAGCGAGUCUGAAUAGGGCGCAUAAGUAACAGGUCGUAGACCCGAAACCAGGUGAUCUACCCAUGUCCAGGAUGAAGGUAAGGUAAUACUUACUGGAGGUCCGAACCCACGCACGUUGAAAAGUGCGGGGAUGAGGUGUGGGUAGCGGAGAAAUUCCAAUCGAACUUGGAGAUAGCUGGUUCUCUCCGAAAUAGCUUUAGGGCUAGCCUCGAGGUAAAGAGUCAUGGAGGUAGAGCACUGUUUGGACUAGGGGCCCUUCUCGGGUUACCGAAUUCAGAUAAACUCCGAAUGCCAUGUACUUAUACUCGGGAGUCAGACUGCGAGUGAUAAGAUCCGUAGUCGAAAGGGAAACAGCCCAGACCACCAGUUAAGGUCCCCAAAUAUAUGUUAAGUGGAAAAGGAUGUGGGGUUGCUUAGACAACCAGGAUGUUGGCUUAGAAGCAGCCACCAUUGAAAGAGUGCGUAAUAGCUCACUGGUCGAGUGACCCCGCGCCGAAAAUGUACCGGGGCUAAACAUAUUACCGAAACUGUGGAUGAACCUCUUUAGAGGUUCGUGGUAGGAGAGCGUUCUAAGGGCGGUGAAGUCAGACCGGAAGGACUGGUGGAGCGCUUAGAAGUGAGAAUGCCGGUAUGAGUAGCGAAAGAAGGGUGAGAAUCCCUUCCACCGAAUAUCUAAGGUUUCCUGAGGAAGGCUCGUCCGCUCAGGGUUAGUCGGGACCUAAGCCGAGGCCGAUAGGCGUAGGCGAUGGACAACAGGUAGAGAUUCCUGUACCAGUGCUAAUUGUUUAACCGAUGGGGUGACACAGAAGGAUAGGGAAUCGCACGAAUGGAAAUGUGCGUCCAAGCAGUGAGUGUGAG